ACGGAAGGCAGCAGUGAGGAAUAUUGGUCAAUGGACGGAAGUCUGAACCAGUCAUGUCGCGUGAAGGAGGAAGGUGCUAUGCAUUGUAAACUUCUUUUAUCUGGGGGUAAAGGCGCCCACGUGUGGGCGUUUGCAAGUACCAGAUGAAUAAGCAUCGGCUAACUCCGUGCCAGCAGCCGCGGUAAUACGGAGGAUGCGAGCGUUAUCCGGAUUUAUUGGGUUUAAAGGGUGCGUAGGCGGGAGAUCAAGUCAGCGGUGAAAUUCUGUGGCUCAACCAUAGGGCUGCCGUUGAAACUGGUUUUCUUGAGUGCGGCAGAGGUAGGCGGAAUGUGUGGUGUAGCGGUGAAAUGCUUAGAUAUCACACAGAACACCGAUUGCGAAGGCAGCUUACUGGAGCGCAACUGACGCUGAGGCACGAAAGCGUGGGGAUCGAACAGGAUUAGAUACCCUGGUA
RNAcentral lists this ribosomal RNA (454 nucleotides) under uncultured Paludibacter sp. RNAcentral describes it as "partial 16S ribosomal RNA". It matches the Rfam family "Bacterial small subunit ribosomal RNA", at positions 341 to 792 of the family's 1533-position model. Lineage: Bacteria; Pseudomonadati; Bacteroidota; Bacteroidia; Bacteroidales; Paludibacteraceae. The record is from RNAcentral.